This 247-nucleotide ribosomal RNA is filed under the name uncultured bacterium. RNAcentral's name for it is "partial 16S ribosomal RNA". It matches the Rfam family "Bacterial small subunit ribosomal RNA", at positions 99 to 334 of the family's 1533-position model. The record is from RNAcentral.
CGGACGGGUGAGUAACACGUGGGUAACCUGCCCGGAAGUGGGGAAUACCUCGGGGAAACUCGAGCUAAUACCGCAUAACAUCUUUGGAACGGAAGUUCCGACGAUCAAAGCGGGGUCGCAAGAUCUCGCGCUACCGGAUGGGCCCGCGCCCGAUUAGCUAGUUGGUGAGGUAACGGCUCACCAAGGCUUCGAUCGGUAACCGGCCUGAGAGGGCGAUCGGUCACACCGGAACUGAGACACGGUCCGG